UGUGGCCUAUGAUGAUUAAUUAUUUGCCUACAUUGUCAGAUUGUCUAAUUCAUGACUGAGACAUACAGCUGAGGCCUUA
This 79-nucleotide small nucleolar RNA is filed under the name Jatropha curcas. Its description in RNAcentral is "Small nucleolar RNA SNORD34". It matches the Rfam family "Small nucleolar RNA SNORD34". From Rfam's summary of the family: snoRNA U34 is found in intron 5 of the ribosomal protein L13a gene in humans. U34 is a member of the C/D class of snoRNA which contain C (UGAUGA) and D (CUGA) box motifs, and functions in directing site-specific 2'-O-methylation of 25S rRNAs. Lineage: Eukaryota; Viridiplantae; Streptophyta; Magnoliopsida; Malpighiales; Euphorbiaceae. The record is from Rfam by way of RNAcentral.